RNAcentral lists this ribosomal RNA (418 nucleotides) under uncultured bacterium. RNAcentral's name for it is "bacterial SSU rRNA". It matches the Rfam family "Bacterial small subunit ribosomal RNA", at positions 355 to 773 of the family's 1533-position model. The record is from RNAcentral.
UAAGGAAUAUUGGGCAAUGGGCGAAAGCCUGACCCAGCCAUGCCGCGUGCAGGAUGACAGCUCUAGUAGUUGUAAACUGCUUUUAUAUGGGAAGAAACCCUCGAACGUGUUUGAGGCUGACGGUACCAUAUGAAUAAGGAUCGGCUAACUCCGUGCCAGCAGCCGCGGUAAUACGGAGGAUCCAAGCGUUAUCCGGAUUUAUUGGGUUUAAAGGGUGCGCAGGCGGAAUGGUAAGUCAGUGGUGAAAGACUGCAGCUUAACUGUAGAAUUGCCAUUGAUACUGCUAUUCUUGAGUGCAGUUGAAGUGGGCGGAAUGUGUCAUGUAGCGGUGAAUGCAUAGAUAUGACACAGAACACCGAUUGCGUAGGCAACUCACUAACUGUAACUGACGCUGAGGCACGAAGCGUGGGGAGCAACA